GUCGGACUAGCUGGUUCAGAUCAUUCCGAUAAAAUCGGAAGGGUCACUGGUUCGAACCCAGUAGCCUCCA
Molecule: transfer RNA, 70 nt
Filed under: Sphingobacterium spiritivorum
Lineage: Bacteria; Pseudomonadati; Bacteroidota; Sphingobacteriia; Sphingobacteriales; Sphingobacteriaceae
Also listed under: 1 other name
Description: tRNA-Phe
Source: RNAcentral